Molecule: non-coding RNA, 466 nt
Organism: Ictidomys tridecemlineatus (thirteen-lined ground squirrel)
Lineage: Eukaryota; Metazoa; Chordata; Mammalia; Rodentia; Sciuridae
Source: RefSeq, a predicted model, not a curated record
GCAGAACAGUUGCCGCGUCGCCUCCGCGCGCUGCACUGCGGCGUAGUGUCCUCGGCGCUCCGCGGCUCGCGGCCUUCUCUGUGCCUGCCCAGGUCCGGGUGCGGCCUCUGCUGCGAGGCCUCCUCAGCGCCCGGACAGGUCGGUGUACGGUCUCUUCUGCCCUCGGACAGGUCGGUGCGCGGUCCCCGCUGCGCGGCCUCUUCUGCCUUUGGACAGUGGCUGUGCGAUCUUGGCUGCGUGGCCUCCGGUGCGUGGCCUCCACUACGUGGCCUCUUUGGCCCUCCUAUGCAUUGGUGUGCGGCCUCCGCUGCGCAACCUCUUUGGCCCUCGGAUGCGUUGGUGCGCGGCCUCCGCUGCGCGAUCUCUUUGGCCCUCGGACUGGUUGGAGCGCGGCCUCGGAUGCACUGGGAUCCGAUCGCGGCAAGGGACGGCGAUCGCCAGCGGCGCGGAGCCGGUCCCCAGCAGA